CAUCUAUAACUAAAGAUAUUAAAAGAUUAAUCUGAUCAUACCGGAUAUCGACGAAAACCCUCGAUGGGUUAACUUUGCAAACAAAGUAUACUUUACAUAUUCUCUCUAUGAAAUCCCUACGGGAAAAAUAGAUAAAUUUUGAGAGAAUCCAUUCAUAACCCCACGGAAGAAUUAGGAGAAAGAAUAGACGAAGAAUACUUUGAACGGGAACAAAAGUUGUGCAAAAGAAAGUUCUGGCAGGGCAGGUAUUUGACUUGGUCAUGAUUGAAAGUUUUUAAGGCCAAAAAUUGGGGUGAAAAUUAGCCACUUUAUGCCAUCACUACAUUAUGCUUGACUCGACUUAUCAAUACUAUGCAUCAUUCAUUACUUGUUCUGUAGGCCCACCACGAAGAAGUUCAUAGAAACAAAGUUUUAUAAAAUUAUGGUUUUCCCUACAUGUAUAUCAGUAACAACUACUGAAUAGUAUAGUAUAUAUAAUCAACAUUUUAAGGAAAUUAUGAUUGGAACCCACAAAAGGUAAUUUCAAAUGCCUCGUCGUAAAGAAAUUUAGGGAUAGAAACUGCUGAAAUUUAUGCUGACACAUAGUUAUGACAGAUACUCCCAACAAUUCAAAUCUCAUCAACAUGUUCACCGAGCAUUGUCGCUAAAAAAACUUCACUUUCAAACAUUAACAAAAUCAUCACUUACUAUAUUUCUAUUGUAAAUUCAACAAACAGUAGCCCAUGUAGGUUGAACAAUAAGGUAAACAGAUACAUAUCAGGAUACAACAGGUACAUCCAAUUGGCAUAAAAAUCAUAACCUUAAAUAUACAAAAUUACACUUGAUAUUCUCAGGUAGAGAACUUCCCCUUUCUGCAUCAAUUUUGAAUCUAUAUAGUUAUUGGUGUUGCUAGAGCGUAUAUUUUUAAGAUAGUAAAAUAAAAAUAACAGAUGCUUUAACAAAUAGAGAAUACUACUUAGACUUCAGUUGUGCUGACCAAUUAACUUCCGUUUUUUUCUCUUUUGAGGAUAAAUUCAAGAAGCAGCACGACAAAACUAAGAUUUUCAUGUAACUAAACCAUUCAAUCUAACAUUACUGGAAAUAAUUCAUAUACAAAAUAGCUAUAUAUAAGGAGUAGCAAUUUUUACCUCUUUAAUUUGUUCCAAGUACUACUUGUCUUCAUCUCCUGGUAUACAUGAAGUUUAUAAUCUAACUCUGAAGGAGAGAGAUAGAUUAACAAGCAUAUGCAAAUUUGGUUUGUUUCUUUGACCGGAAUAUAUUUUUUCACAAGCUUAUUACCACAAGAUAACUGUAUUUAUAACAUUCAAACCAAAAAAGGAGUCAGCAGACCCUAAGUAACAAAUUUAUUGUUCAUUCUACUGGUAUAAAUAAUAAAAAUGUAAUACCCCGUUGGGGUUCAGUCUUUUAAUGACCAAUCUUUUAAAGAAAGUAAAAUAGAAGGGAAAAAAUGAAGAGAACUUAGAAGUCACGUAAGAAAUUCAAAAUAAACAAAUUAAUAACAGAGAACAAAUCAGAACCCAACCUCAGUUUGUUUUCACCUUUCUGAAACGAAUCUUAAGACUAAACUGAAGAAAAGAUUGAUAAUCAAGCCAAAACCCCAAAGACCUAAUAUUUUUGCAUAAGAAGAAAAAGUAGAACAGAAAGCACAAAUAAAAUGAAAUGCUGGAGUGAUUGGAAUAAACCUGCUCUUUGUAGUAGAUGUUUCGUUGAAUUAUUAGGUGAGGUCUGCUGGAUUUUGGGGCAAUUGAUGCUGCCCUCUUUCCUUCAUGUGGAAUAAUUUGGAAGUGGAUGCUUCUAACAAGUGUUGAAUGGAGUUUUUAGGUUUGGGGAAUUGAGAGUCCACGCGUUGGUCAAGAAAGAGUCACCAAUUGAGCUGUAAAUUAAUAAAUUACAAAAUUACCCCAGAAAAAAUAGAAAAUUCAAGGGAACACACACGUUGACG
RNAcentral lists this long non-coding RNA (1942 nucleotides) under Nicotiana tabacum (common tobacco). Its description in RNAcentral is "long non-coding RNA (NTAB_LNC006702)". The record is from RNAcentral. Lineage: Eukaryota; Viridiplantae; Streptophyta; Magnoliopsida; Solanales; Solanaceae.